Molecule: long non-coding RNA, 3598 nt
Organism: Eriocheir sinensis (Chinese mitten crab)
Lineage: Eukaryota; Metazoa; Arthropoda; Malacostraca; Decapoda; Varunidae
Exons: 2
Source: RefSeq, a predicted model, not a curated record
AGAAAUGAAGAAAAUAGUUAGUUGUUUCUUAUUGGUUCCUUCCAUGUUUUUAGCGCCAGGGAGCUGAUAGCGUUUGGAUAGAUGUAUAUAUUAUGAUAGAGGCAAUCCGAAAUGGCGCUGUAUCAAGGUAGACAGGGAAGGGUUGGUUAGUCGGGCUAGAAAUCAAGAAAAUCGAUGAUCGGUGAACCAGAUAACGUUUGGAUAGAUUUUUUUUAUUUUUACAACAAAGGAGACAGCUCAAGGGCACAAAAAAGGAAACAAUAAUAAAAAAAAGCCCGCUACUCGCUGCUCCUAAAAAGAAUCCAAGGAGGUGGCCGAAAGAGGGGUCGAUGUAUGUAUUUGAUAUGGGAGAGAAAUCCGAAAUGGUUGGUAUAUAUAUCAAGGUAGACAGCUGAGGAUUGAUUGACAGUGGAAAAAGUGUUAUAGUUUUUAUAGUUCCUUUUUAUUCAGUGACCGCGAAUUUUAAAACGUUAGAUAGAAGAGGAAUAUGCUGUAGUAAACCCGGAAUAGCGUAUCAAGGAAGAGUUGGUCAGUCAGGUAGAAAUAAGGGAAAAUAAUAUUUUUGCUGUGUUUAUUCAUGUGUAAUUCAUAUUUUAUUAUCUUUUUUUAUUCAGUCAGCGAGCGAGGCAGCCAGUCGUCGCGGUGUGCGUCUUCAUUUGUUUGUUCACGAGCCUUGCCGUCUGCCGUUGUCAUGACCUAACGAGCGGCUGUCACGGGCGGUGUUUUUCUCGUUAUUCUGCUGCCAUUUCCGCUGCUGCAUGUGGCUGGUGGACAGGUCUGGUUACCUCAGCUGCUUGAUUGCUGGCACCUUGUCCGUGGAGUGUUGGUUUAGAAUUUAGAUUUUAGUAUUAUUAUUAUUCGCAUUCAGUAGUAGUAGUAGUAGUAGUAGUAGUAGUAGUAGUAGUAGUAGUGGUAGUAGUAGUAGUAGUAGUAGUAGUAGUAGUAGCAGUGGCAGUAGUAGCAGUUGUUGUUGAAUCUCAGUAAACUCCAGAGCGUCUUAAGUCUGAUCCAUCGAAGUAACUGAGACGAAGCAGUGGGUUAUAGAGAACAAUACCGACACCACGAGAUCAAAUGAGCGUUUAUUUGUCCCUCUAACUGGCCCAUUGUAUUGCCUGGGUGAUGUGCGUGCUUGAAACAACACCAACAAACAAUUCAUCCACGAGAGACAACGAUUUGCUCGAGUCUCUCCCAUCCGAGGCUCAAAGGGCGAACGGAGCAGAGACGAGCACCUCCGCCACGCGCAGCUAUAGCGUAUGCUCCCAACUCAACCUUACCUGAGACCAGAAGUAUUACAUUUAUGAGCUCGUAGUAUUCGUAUUAGUUAUCCAUUACAGAGGAAGACCAGCGACGAGUACGUAUAUGGAUUUCGUGUAUCGUGAUCCGUCAAUCCAACAAAGACCGGAAACACAUGAUUUUCGUAAUAAUGUAAUCCGUCAUCCCCAGCGGAGGACCAUUGACAUUAUUAUUUCGUUACUGAUCCGUCAUUCGAUAUCCAGUGAUCGGCAGGGAGAGGGAGAGGACACGCGACGGGGAAGUAGAGCUUGGUGUGUGUGUGUGUGUGUGUGUGUGUGUGUGUUUGGUAUUGAGCUGUCUGUCAUGCACCUCCUCCCCCCUCCCCCCUCCUCCCCUACCUUCAUAACCCCCUCGGGAACUAACUCUUUGCUACUGACGAGGAAAACACACACACGUAGUUGGCCUCCAGAAGAUUAUCGGCCACCUAAUGAGCCGUCAGCCAUGCACAUCUACCCCCUCCCCCCCAUCCCCAUCCCCCACACAGUCCUCCCCCCCCCCACCCCCACCCCCCUCGGUAUCUGACGCACGUAUUUGGUAUUGACGGGAUAAAUAUACUCAUACGUAGUUAGUUUAGGACUGUCGACCACCUCCUGAAAGACUGUGAUAAGAUUAGGGUAGAGAACUUUUGAUAGAGAGGGUGGGCGGUUGUGGUCUAGCUGAUGACGGUGUGUGUGUGUGUGUGUGGCUUUCAUUGUCGUGUUGUGGUGUAUAGUAUAUUGUGUGUGUGUGUAUGUGUGUGUGCGCCCAUCUGUGUGCCUGCCGUCCACCCUCCAUUGGCCAUGUGGUUUGGUGGUGACCGUAAGUGGAGCGUCUGACAUAACGACACACACACACACACACACACACACACACACACACACACACACACACACAUAUGCAGGAGCGGGGGUUAGAGGGGGGGCGGUUGGAGGUAAUUAUGCACUCAUUCUCGUUAAAGCAGAAAGCAGUGUGGUGGGGGGGUGGGGCUGCAUAGUUUAGCGGCGGCGAUGGCGGGGUCGUGGGAAUCGUGUGGAGUCUUCGAAUAUUAAAUGAAUGGUUGAAACGGUGAAACAGCGACCGUGAAUCUGCGUGGAGGUGCAAGGACCCGACCCAUCACCCCACCCCUCCUAUACCCGGACCCUAUACCUUGCCCCUAGCCCCAUCCAAAGACCUGCCCCGAUCACCUCACCCCCUCUCCUGACCCUUGCUCCUGCCCCGACCCCCGCGCUGGGUACGUGUAUUCUGCCGCCGGUCGGGGUCCACAGGCAAAAACAAGACGUUCUCGCAGGAGCUCUUGGCGGUCAGUUUUCUCGGCUGGUCCACUCGAGGGUAUAGCCAGUGAUUGCCGGGAUGAUCGGGCCGCGGGUGUAACCUUUGCUCGGCCCGGCGCGGGGAAAAACGUCUGGUGAUGCCACUCGCCGGGGGACACAGCGCAAGUGAUUUUUUCUCCUCUCUUAGCUAUUACUUUGAUUACAUGCACGGGAUGAGGCGUGCAAUUUCUUUUCCUCUGAUGGGGCGUGACCUGUAACUGUGCCUCGGCUCGGCUCGGCUUGGUUCGGAGGAGAGACUGAAGGAAUAACGGGAUCAAGUGUUAUAUUUUCUUUAAUAGUCGAAUAUGACCCCUAAUUGUACAUCUGUUUAGCUUAGUCGGAAGAGCGAAAAAGUUGGAAAGUUUUUUUAGUCGGCGCAACAUCUGUGGUCAUAUGCCGGAAAGAGACAAGGGGAAGGAAUUAUAGAAGGUAACAGAUCCCAGGAGACGGGACACAACCCCCGAUAGAUAGCUUGGUCGGAAGAGCGAAGCAGAUUAAAUAAAUGCCGUAGGAUCAUGUGUCGUCGCCCCAUGAGUUUCCGCCUUCUGGGAGUGACGCGGCUCCAGCCCUCCCGCCGCUCCUCUCAUCCUACUCAUAUUCUCACUGUCAUGUUGCCGUUGAUUUCCCGUGGACUCCAUUAUGGGCGGCGCAGUGUGUUGCCGCCGCCCUGGGUGAGGCCGUUCCCACGAGGGAGGAGUGCCCAAACCUGCCCCGCGGGACGCCCAUUAGGUGCGCAUCAAAGAGGUAAUGGGCAGCCGUAAACCCCGGCGGCCUGUUAUCCGGCGAGAGGCGCGUCGUUACUGCGGCCACACUUUAUGGUGGAGUUUAUUAAGGGUUGUGUGGCGCGGCGCCGCACGCUGCAUAGCCGACAAACAGCGGGCGAUUAGCGCUGGUUAAUUGCGCUCACCCACCUGGCGGAGGACGACUCGGCUCACUAGGCUCAGCUCACCUCGCCUUGCCCUCGCCAUCUUCCUGGAAUACUAUUAAUACUUCCUUAUAUUUUGUUUUAUCUUCCU